RNAcentral lists this non-coding RNA (276 nucleotides) under Pan troglodytes (chimpanzee). The record is from RNAcentral. RNAcentral also lists the same sequence under 1 other name. Lineage: Eukaryota; Metazoa; Chordata; Mammalia; Primates; Hominidae.
AUGACAAGAAUGUGCGUCGUCGCUUUCGGGCAAGUAACUACCAGAGCACCACCCGGGUCAAACCCUUCAUCUGCACCAUGCCCAUGCGGCUGGAUGACGGCUGGAACCAGAUUCAGUUCAACUUGCUAGACUUCACACGGCGAGCAUACGGCACCAAUUACAUCGAGACCCUCAGAGUGCAGAAUCCAUCCCUAAGACAAGCCAAGGAGAUGCCGGAGAUGACGCGUUUCCAGUCCUGGAAGAGGGCCUCUAGAAGAUUCAGGAAAAGGGGGAGAA